Molecule: long non-coding RNA, 4721 nt
Filed under: Homo sapiens (human)
Lineage: Eukaryota; Metazoa; Chordata; Mammalia; Primates; Hominidae
Description: HSALNT0146698
Source: RNAcentral
CAAACCCCUAAAAAAGUCAUUUGCUACAAAGACAGUUAAAAUGCCCCUUCAAAGAAGCUUUUCAUGUCAGAGGCUUGAAAUUGUGAUUUCUAGAAGGAGAAAUCAAAACAAAAUGCUAAAAUAGGAGGAAAAAAGUGGCAAUCACCAGGUAAUGGCCAAAAGGAAUUGAUGGCAGGUCAUAUGAAACACAUCCUGUAUUCUACUAGAAAUGAGAAGGAUAUUUUAGUGAGGCUGAAGUUUGUGCCACACAGGAUGAAAUCAAAGUCAGAGAAUAAAUAUAAAUUACCUAUAGAUAAUUUGUAACUACCAAAGAGCUUCUGGUGGAGUCUCUAUUAUAAAGAGUGGCCCAAGAGGGCUAUCAAGUCAUAAACCUGGCAUAAGAAUUUUCAUUGUGUGAGUGGGGGUUCUUAUUGUUGGAUCUGUGUGACAGGGAUUUUUGGCAUAGGGCUCAUGGGGAGGGCUUCAUAAACUACUUGAAUUUGAGUGCAAAACAUGUGUAAAUAUGUGUGAAGUGCACGUGGCGGCAUCUGCUGGCAGUCUUUUUAAAGUCCAUCCUCCCACUCUUCGUUUUUUUUCCCAGUCUUUCUUGCAAUAGAUGUGGUCAUACAAUUAAGUUCCAGCCAAUGAGACUUGAGUGGAAGUAAGAUGAAAUCUCUGUGGCGUGCCUUUAAAAGGAUAGGGAAAUAUCCUUUCUGUAAAUCUUUUCUUCUCUCCGGCUGCCUAGAAUAUACACAAAAUGACAAGAGUUCCAGCUCUUCCUGAUACCACGAGCAGCCUUGGAAAUGGAAACCAUGCAUGAUAACUCCUAGACAGCUGUGCUCCUAUGGAAACUUUUGGAAUAGACCCACACGGAGAAAUUACGAAAAUAAGACAAAACGAAAAUAAGAUAAAAUCAAAAAGAAAAGAAAAAGAAAAAAACGCAGAAAACCUGUGAAACACCUGGUUUUGGCAGCUUUUUGUCUCACCAGAGGCGGCAUGUUUCAGUGCCAUCUGUUAGGCAGCCAUGUUCUGCUCGUCCUUCUCCGGGUAAGUUCCCCUGUGGGCUGCACAGGAUCCGACUGGCAGCAGAUUGCAGCCGACCUCAGCACUGAAGCCUCCCUGGGAUUUGUAGCCCUGCAGCCUGCCGGGCGGAGGUUAUCUCUCCAACGUGGCCCGUCUGCAGGCUCUCCUUUUGACCUACCCAAAUGGUAUUUAAAGCAGCAAUUAGAAUGACUCCCCAGCGCCCAGGCUAUUUCAAAUCUUUUAAAUGUUUGAAUACAUUGCUUUAACAUGUUGACCUUUCUCUGUACCCAGUGAAACUAGGCCAAACAAACAAAUAAAUAAAUAAACUACUUUGGUUUGUGACCGAAGAAGAAAUUGCCAUCUUAGCACUCUUCCUAGAGCUCCUGCAUACCCCUGUCUUUCAGGUGCCAACAGAACAUAGGAAAACAGCCAAUCAUUGAAAUGCACAGCUGUGUAUUCCUUCACACAUUGGUUUCUCUUUCUUAUGUGUUCAAUGAUAAUUCCAAACAUCUAUUGAAUUACAACUAAAGGAUCCUAUUUCAUGCAAGUAUAUUCUCUGCUUAAGCAAUUACUAAUAUCCAGUUUAUUUUAUUUUCUUUUUCUUUUUUUAUUUUUUUUAAGAUGGAGUCUCGCACUGUCGCCUGGACUGGAGUGCAGUGCAGUGGCGCGAUCUCGGCUCACUGCAACCUCUGCCUUACAGGUUCAAGAGAUUCUCCUGCCUCAGCCCCCCGAAUAGCUGGGAUUACAGGUGCCUGGCACCAUGCCCGGCUAGUUUUUUGUAUUUUUAGUAGACACCGGGUUUCACUAUGUUGGCCAGAGUGGUCUUGAACGCCUGACCUCGUGAACCACCUGCCUCAGCCUCCCAAAGUGCUGGGAUUAUAGGCAUGAGCCACAGCACCCGGCCUAAUAUCCAGUUUUGUAUUUUUGUAUUUUUUUUAAUGAAAUCUCAUGUGGAAGAAAAGGCCAUUCUAGAAAAUAUUAACGUUUUCUGAUACAUGACAAUGGAAGAAGCUCUGUUUAAUUUUCCUGCCAUAAUUUCAGAGUCCUUUGGUUUAUGUUUUGUUGGUGUAAUCUUUCUGUGUGAUGGUCCUUUCUGACAGCCUCGGUUUUUGUUUGACUUUUCUUUAACACUUAUCUUCAGAGAGACAAGUGCUUUUUUGCAAAUCUAGUCCUCUGAGCAUAUGUGAUUGUUGCAUAUUUUACAGAAGCUUUCGGAGAGAAAUGAAGAAGAUAGUUUACAUUUUACAUCAUACAGCAAUAAUUACUUUAUUAAAUAAUUUAAUUUAAUUACUAUAAAUUCUCCCCAAGAGAUAUUUCUGCUCUGCCCAAAGUCUUGUGUCUCUAAAUUCCUACUGGGUCUGAUUUCAUAUUCUAGCUCUCUUUCUUCUUUAUGUACACCUAUAAUGUGCAUAAAUGACCUAUACAUUGCCUCACACUGACUUCUCAAAUCUUGCAUCAUUUCACCCAUUAUACUUUCACAAAACAAUGGACCCUCCAAUUAUUGGGAUACAUUCUCCUGGGAAGGCAGUGGGGACUAGAAAUAACUGCUUUUGUCUUCAUCUAAUUCUUUUUUAUUAUUUAUUUUUCACUGUGCUGACAUACCUUCCAGCAAAUUCAGACAGAAAUAAGCCUGUCUAAGGGAACAAAAUUGGUGCAAACUGUGACAGGAUGGUCCCUGAGCUAUACAAAAUUCAUACUUUCAAGAGAUAAAUUCUAGCUAUAUGCUCUGCAUUGGAGUAUAUUCUCAUUAUAAAACAUUUUUAAAGGAGUUUUAGCACAUUUACAUAUUGUUUAUGAGGCAAUUUAAAAAGAAGAUGAAAAACAACGAUAACCCCAUAUUUCUUUUUAGCUUUCUUGUGAUUAUUAGUAGUUGAUACUUCUUGCUUGCAAUGAUUUGUUAAUAUUUUCAAUUUCAUGGUUUUAUAUCUCAAUAUUCAUUUAUAAAUUCAUAUUCUAAAAGUUACCCUAAGAAAAUAUCAUGGAGAAUCUAAACAUAAAAUGAAUAAUUCAAGCUUUUGAUGCAGGAAAAACAUGUUCAAAUUGGUUUUAUUUAACUUAAAAUAACAAUAGUUUUAAUUCCGAUGAAUUCAGUUUUCAAAGAAAAUAGGAGCUACUUAGCUUAUUAUUCAUAUAGUUCAUGCUAAGCAUGAGAAACAAGGAGCUCUGUUUACGCUGACAUUAUUUGGAUGGAAGCUGCCAUGUAUAAUAAGAUGCUAUGUCCUCCUCUUUUUGUGAAUCCAUCCACUAACCUCCUUGUUUAGCUGCACCGCCUAUGCAUAGCAUGACUCACCUUGGGAUCCUUUGGAGUUGUGUCCCCUAAGAUUGGAAAAGGGGCAUCCCUACUGCUAUGUUAUCUUUUCCUACUUGAUAAUCAGUACAUUCUGUUGUGAAGAAUUAAUGCUUGAAAGUGACAUUUAAAAUUCCCAAAUGUGUAGGUAUUUAUAUAUCAAAAAUAAAAUUGUUAACUAAAUUUAACAAAAUCAAAAUAUAAUGAAUUAUAUUUUCAGCCUAUCUGUUUUAAUCCUCUUAUCAAACAAGCUGACUGGCACCAUUCUGGCUGGGUUGGGUUUUUUAAGAUUAGGCCUGGCAAAUAAAUUGUCUUUCUUUAAAAAGAAAUCUAGGUGCCAAUGGUUGACACUGUCUGAGUACUUAUUGUGGGCUAGAUACUGCUUCACUUAUUUCCCAUGUAAGAAGUCUUUUAUUCCUCACAACAACCUAGUAAGUUGGGUGUAAUUAUUAUCACUACUUCACAGGUUAAAAAUAAAAAUUAAAAAAAACCUGAAGCACAAAGAAAUUAAACAUCUUUGUCAAACAACUAAAAAUGUUAGAAUCAGAAUUUUUACCCAGGCUGACAUCAGAAUCUGAGUCUUUCGUCUUGUGCUAUAAUUAUAAAAUAUUCAGGGUCCAUAGUGAGUGAGGCUUAGAGAUCACAAAAUGUCACCAGACAGAUAAGUGCUAAAAGCUGGAGAAUAAAGCUUAAUAUUUUAUUUUCUACUUUCCUUUUCAAAAGAUAUCCAAUUGCCCAAAGUAGAAACCUAAGAAUCAUGAUGUUUUCUUUUCUCUUACUGAUAUGGUUUGGAUGUUUGUCUCCUCCAAAUCUCAUGUUGAAAUGAAAUCCUCAGUGUUGGAGGUGGGGCCUGGUGAGAGGGGUUUGGGUCAUGGAGGUGGAUCACUCAUGAAUGCUUUGAGCCCCCACACAGAGUCCCUAUUGUAAUAAUGAGGAGUUCUUGCUCAAAGUUCACAUGAGAUCUGGUUGUUUAAAAGAGCAUGGCACCUCCCUCCUUACUCCACCUCUUUCUCUGUGAUAUGCUGAAACGGUUUGGAUGUGUCCCCACCCAAAUCUCAUCUUGAUUUCCCACAUGUUAUGGGAGGGACCUUGUGGGAAGUAAUUGAAUCAUGGGGACAGGUAUUUCCUGUGCUGUUCUUGUGAUAGUGAACAAGUCUCAUGAGAUCUGACAGUUUUAAAAAAAGGAGUUUCCCUGUACAAGUUAUUUUGUCUGUCACCACGUGAGACGUGCCUUUUAUCUUCUGCCAUGAUUGUGAGGCCUCCCCAGCCACAGGAAACUGUAAGUUCAAUAAAACUUUCCUUUGUAAAUUGCCCAGUCUUGCAUAUGUCUUUAUCAGCAGUGUGAAAAUGGACUAAUACAGUAAACUGGCACCAGUAGAAUGAGGCGUUGCUGAAAAUAUACCUGAAAAUAUGGAAGCAACUUUGGAACUGG